GGUUAAGCGACUAAGCGUACACGGUGGAUGCCCUGGCAGUCAGAGGCGAUGAAGGGCGUGCUAAUCUGCGAUAAGCGCCGGUAAGGUGAUAUGAACCGUUAUAACCGGCGAUACCCGAAUGGGGAAACCCAGUGUGAUUCGUCACACUAUCAUUAACUGAAUCCAUAGGUUAAUGAGGCGAACCGGGGGAACUGAAACAUCUAAGUACCCCGAGGAAAAGAAAUCAACCGAGAUUCCCCCAGUAGCGGCGAGCGAACGGGGAGGAGCCCAGAGCCUGAAUCAGCAUGUGUGUUAGUGGAAGCGUCUGGAAAGGCGCGCGAUACAGGGUGACAGCCCCGUACACAAAAGCGCAUGUGCUGUGAGCUCGAUGAGUAGGGCGGGACACGUGGUAUCCUGUCUGAAUAUGGGGGGACCAUCCUCCAAGGCUAAAUACUCCUGACUGACCGAUAGUGAACCAGUACCGUGAGGGAAAGGCGAAAAGAACCCCGGCGAGGGGAGUGAAAAAGAACCUGAAACCGUGUACGUACAAGCAGUGGGAGCACCCUUUGGGGUGUGACUGCGUACCUUUUGUAUAAUGGGUCAGCGACUUAUAUUCUGUAGCAAGGUUAACCGUAUAGGGGAGCCGGAGGGAAACCGAGUCUUAAUUGGGCGUUAAGUUGCAGGGUAUAGACCCGAAACCCGGUGAUCUAGCCAUGGGCAGGUUGAAGGUUGGGUAACACUAACUGGAGGACCGAACCGACUAAUGUUGAAAAAUUAGCGGAUGACCUGUGGCUGGGGGUGAAAGGCCAAUCAAACCGGGAGAUAGCUGGUUCUCCCCGAAAGCUAUUUAGGUAGCGCCUCGUGAAUUCAUCUCCGGGGGUAGAGCACUGUUUCGGCUAGGGGGCCAUCCCGGCUUACCAACCCGAUGCAAACUGCGAAUACCGGAGAAUGUUAUCACGGGAGACACACGGCGGGUGCUAACGUCCGUCGUGAAGAGGGAAACAACCCAGACCGCCAGCUAAGGUCCCAAAGUCAUGGUUAAGUGGGAAACGAUGUGGGAAGGCCCAGACAGCCAGGAUGUUGGCUUAGAAGCAGCCAUCAUUUAAAGAAAGCGUAAUAGCUCACUGGUCGAGUCGGCCUGCGCGGAAGAUGUAACGGGGCUAAACCAUGCACCGAAGCUGCGGCAGCGACACUGUGUGUUGUUGGGUAGGGGAGCGUUCUGUAAGCCUGUGAAGGUGUGUCGUGAGGCAUGCUGGAGGUAUCAGAAGUGCGAAUGCUGACAUAAGUAACGAUAAAGCGGGUGAAAAGCCCGCUCGCCGGAAGACCAAGGGUUCCUGUCCAACGUUAAUCGGGGCAGGGUGAGUCGACCCCUAAGGCGAGGCCGAAAGGCGUAGUCGAUGGGAAACGGGUUAAUAUUCCCGUACUUGGUGUUACUGCGAAGGGGGGACGGAGAAGGCUAUGUUGGCCGGGCGACGGUUGUCCCGGUUUAAGCGUGUAGGCUGGUUUUCCAGGCAAAUCCGGAAAAUCAAGGCUGAGGCGUGACGACGAGGCACUACGGUGCUGAAGCAACAAAUGCCCUGCUUCCAGGAAAAGCCUCUAAGCAUCAGGUAACACGAAAUCGUACCCCAAACCGACACAGGUGGUCAGGUAGAGAAUACCAAGGCGCUUGAGAGAACUCGGGUGAAGGAACUAGGCAAAAUGGUGCCGUAACUUCGGGAGAAGGCACGCUGACAUGUAGGUGAAGUGAUUUACUCAUGGAGCUGAAGUCAGUCGAAGAUACCAGCUGGCUGCAACUGUUUAUUAAAAACACAGCACUGUGCAAACACGAAAGUGGACGUAUACGGUGUGACGCCUGCCCGGUGCCGGAAGGUUAAUUGAUGGGGUCAGCGCAAGCGAAGCUCCUGAUCGAAGCCCCGGUAAACGGCGGCCGUAACUAUAACGGUCCUAAGGUAGCGAAAUUCCUUGUCGGGUAAGUUCCGACCUGCACGAAUGGCGUAAUGAUGGCCAGGCUGUCUCCACCCGAGACUCAGUGAAAUUGAACUCGCUGUGAAGAUGCAGUGUACCCGCGGCAAGACGGAAAGACCCCGUGAACCUUUACUAUAGCUUGACACUGAACAUUGAGCCUUGAUGUGUAGGAUAGGUGGGAGGCUUUGAAGUGUGGACGCCAGUCUGCAUGGAGCCGACCUUGAAAUACCACCCUUUAAUGUUUGAUGUUCUAACGUGGACCCGUAAUCCGGGUUGCGGACAGUGUCUGGUGGGUAGUUUGACUGGGGCGGUCUCCUCCUAAAGAGUAACGGAGGAGCACGAAGGUUGGCUAAUCCUGGUCGGACAUCAGGAGGUUAGUGCAAUGGCAUAAGCCAGCUUGACUGCGAGCGUGACGGCGCGAGCAGGUGCGAAAGCAGGUCAUAGUGAUCCGGUGGUUCUGAAUGGAAGGGCCAUCGCUCAACGGAUAAAAGGUACUCCGGGGAUAACAGGCUGAUACCGCCCAAGAGUUCAUAUCGACGGCGGUGUUUGGCACCUCGAUGUCGGCUCAUCACAUCCUGGGGCUGAAGUAGGUCCCAAGGGUAUGGCUGUUCGCCAUUUAAAGUGGUACGCGAGCUGGGUUUAGAACGUCGUGAGACAGUUCGGUCCCUAUCUGCCGUGGGCGCUGGAGAACUGAGGGGGGCUGCUCCUAGUACGAGAGGACCGGAGUGGACGCAUCACUGGUGUUCGGGUUGUCAUGCCAAUGGCACUGCCCGGUAGCUAAAUGCGGAAGAGAUAAGUGCUGAAAGCAUCUAAGCACGAAACUUGCCCCGAGAUGAGUUCUCCCUGAGACUUAAAGUCUCCUGAAGGAACGUUGAAGACGACGACGUUGAUAGGCCGGGUGUGUAAGCGCAGCGAUGCGUUGAGCUAACCGGUACUAAUGAACCGUGAGGCUUAACCUU
Molecule: ribosomal RNA, 2903 nt
Filed under: Salmonella enterica
Lineage: Bacteria; Pseudomonadati; Pseudomonadota; Gammaproteobacteria; Enterobacterales; Enterobacteriaceae
Also listed under: 5 other names
Description: 23S ribosomal RNA
Rfam family: Bacterial large subunit ribosomal RNA
Source: RNAcentral